AAGUCGUAACAAGGUUUCCGUAGGUGAACCUGCGGAAGGAUCAUUAAUUAUAUGUAAUUAUUAUGAUUAUAUUUAAUUAGUCACAUAAUUGAGAUGAUUAAUUUUUUAUUAAAUUAAUUUGAUCAAUUUAAUGACAUCCAAAUUUGACUUGGUUUCGCUUAAGUUUAAUUAAACGAAACUGUUAAUUCAGGGUUAAAAUCCUGAAUCAAAACUAAUGUUAAAAUUAUAAUUAAUCAAAAUUAUAUUCGAUCUAUUAAUUAAUUUUUAAUUAACUUAAUAACUAAUAACAAUGGAUCUCUUGGCACU
RNAcentral lists this unclassified non-coding RNA (306 nucleotides) under Conidiobolus coronatus. RNAcentral's name for it is "partial internal transcribed spacer region". The stretch from base 1 to 46 matches the Rfam family "Eukaryotic small subunit ribosomal RNA", at positions 1786 to 1831 of the family's 1831-position model. The record is from RNAcentral. Lineage: Eukaryota; Fungi; Entomophthoromycota; Entomophthoromycetes; Entomophthorales; Conidiobolaceae.